RNAcentral lists this ribosomal RNA (506 nucleotides) under uncultured bacterium. RNAcentral's name for it is "partial 16S ribosomal RNA". It matches the Rfam family "Bacterial small subunit ribosomal RNA", at positions 28 to 523 of the family's 1533-position model. The record is from RNAcentral.
GAUGAACGCUAGCUACAGGCUUAACACAUGCAAGUCGAGGGGUAACAAGAGAAAAGCUUGCUUUUCUUGUUGACGACCGGCGCACGGGUGAGUAACGCGUAUCCAACCUGCCUAUAACUAGGGAAUAACCUUGCGAAAGUAAGACUAAUACCCUAUGAUUUCCUUUGAUGACAUCAGAUUAGGAAUAAAGAUUUAUCGGUUAUAGAUGGGGAUGCGUCUGAUUAGCUUGUUGGCGGGGUAACGGCCCACCAAGGCAACGAUCAGUAGGGGUUCUGAGAGGAAGGUCCCCCACAUUGAAACGGAGACACGGUCCAAACUCCUACGGGAGGCAGCAGUGAGGAAUAUUGGUCAGUGGGCGGAAGCCUGAACCAGCCAAGUAGCGUGAAGGAUGACGGCCCUAUGGGUUGUAAACUGCUUUUAUACAGGAAUAAAGUUAGCCACGUGUGGUUAUUUGUAGGUACUGUAUGAAUAAGGACCGGCUAAUUCCGUGCCAGCAGCCGCCGUAA